GCGCCGAAGCGGGGGUACCGGCGUCGCCGGUUGAGACAGUCCCUUCGAACCUGAUCCGGCUCAUACCGGCGUAGGGAAGCUUCGCAGGACCCGCU
Molecule: non-coding RNA, 95 nt
Filed under: Xanthomonas sp.
Lineage: Bacteria; Pseudomonadati; Pseudomonadota; Gammaproteobacteria; Lysobacterales; Lysobacteraceae
Description: TPP sequence
Rfam family: TPP riboswitch aptamer (THI element)
About the family: Vitamin B(1) in its active form thiamin pyrophosphate (TPP) is an essential coenzyme that is synthesised by coupling of pyrimidine and thiazole moieties in bacteria.
Source: RNAcentral